This 460-nucleotide long non-coding RNA is filed under the name Fukomys damarensis (Damara mole-rat). RNAcentral describes it as "lncRNA (ENSFDAG00000028133.1)". Lineage: Eukaryota; Metazoa; Chordata; Mammalia; Rodentia; Bathyergidae. The record is from RNAcentral.
UGUGAAAGGAGCAGGAAGAAAUUUGACCAUUCCAGCCUCAGCUCCAAGCAAAGUGUUCAAUCAGCAUCACAGUUCCCCUGUCCCUGAAGCCCAGGAACUCAUCUGUGCAUGAAAAUACAUCCAUCUUCACCCUUGGGUAGAUGCCUUCAUGGCAUUGCCCAUCUGGUUUGAAGGUUGGCCAGAAGCUGGGGCACAAUGGUGCUGGUUACCCCAAGGUCUAGCAGAGAGAGGUUGUCCAGGAAGAAGUACAUGGGUGUCUGGAGUCUGCGGUCCACCAGGGAGAGGAGGAUGAUGGAGCUGUUUCCUACCAGGGUGAGGAUGUAGGAAACCAGAACCAUUGCAAAGAGGGGCCUCUCCAGCCAGGGAAAGUCUGAGAAGCCCAGAAGGACAAAAGCGUUGGGAAAACUCAUGUUUCCCCUUUCCAUGGAAGCUGCCUUACAUAUACCUAGAAGAUAAGGGC